RNAcentral lists this ribosomal RNA (716 nucleotides) under uncultured Clavaria. Its description in RNAcentral is "eukaryotic LSU rRNA". The stretch from base 283 to 436 matches the Rfam family "5.8S ribosomal RNA". Lineage: Eukaryota; Fungi; Basidiomycota; Agaricomycetes; Agaricales; Clavariaceae. The record is from RNAcentral.
CUUGGUCAUUUAGAGGAAGUAAAAGUCGUAACAAGGUUUCCGUAGGUGAACCUGCGGAAGGAUCAUUAUUGAUUUUUAAAGAUGUGCUGGCACUCCUUCACCGGUUUGCAUGUGCACUCUGCAAAAUCUCCUUCUCUUACCCCACUGUGCACACCCAAGUAGACAAAACCGAGUUACAGAGCAAUCUGUGUAAUUCCUGAUUUGCCUAUGUUUUUAUCAAACACCAAUAACCAUAUCAGAAUGAUCUAUAUAGUAAGCUUUUAACAAGCUGAAAUUUAAUACAACUUUCAACAAUGGAUCUCUUGGUUCUCGCAUCGAUGAAGAACGCAGCGAAUUGCGAUAUGUAAUGUGAAUUGCAGAAUUCAGUGAAUCAUCGAAUCUUUGAACGCACCUUGCACCCUCUGGCAUUCCGGAGGGUAUGCCUGUUUGAGUGUCAUUAAUCUCUCAACACAAGAAACUUUGUCUCCUUGUGCUUGGAUAUUGAAGGUUUUGCUGGCGCAAACAACUGUCAGCUCCUUUUAAAUGUAUUAGCAGAGCAGUAUAGGACUGGCCUCGGUUUGAUAAGAAACUUUAUCUAUGCUGUCGCUGGGUUUUCCUCUUUGUGCUCAGCUUCAAAUUGUCUUCGGACUGUCUCUUGAGGCAACAAAAUCUCUAUUGAUCGACCUCAAAUCAGGUAGGACUACCCGCUGAACUUAAGCAUAUCAAUAAGCGGAGGA